RNAcentral lists this long non-coding RNA (1961 nucleotides) under Coturnix japonica (Japanese quail). RNAcentral describes it as "lncRNA (ENSCJPG00005002615.1)". Lineage: Eukaryota; Metazoa; Chordata; Aves; Galliformes; Phasianidae. The record is from RNAcentral.
UAUGGGGCAGCUAUGGGGCAGCUAUGGGGCAGGGCUAUGGGGCAGCUAUGGGGUCGCUAUGAGACAGUUAUGGGGCAGUUAUGGGGCAGGGCUAUGGGGCUGCUAUGGGGCAGCUAUGGGGCAAGGCUAUGGGGCAGCUAUGGGGCAGUUAUGGGGCAGGGCUAUGGGGCAGCUAUGGGGUCGCUAUGAGACAGUUAUGGGGCAGGGCUAUGGGGCUGCUAUGGGGCAGUUAUGGGGCUGCUAUGGGGCAGCUAUGGGGCAGGACUAUGGGGCAGUUAUGGGGCAGCUAUGGGGCAGGGCUAUGGGGCAGCUAUGGGGUCGCUAUGGGGCAGUUAUAGGGCAGCUAUGGGGUGGCUAUGUGUCGCUAUGGGGCAGUUGGUUAUGGGUCGCUAUGGGGCAGCUAUGGGGUGGUUCUGGGGUGGUUCUGGGUCGCUAUGGGUCGCUAUGGGGCAGUAAUGGGGUGGUUAUGGGGCGGUUAUGGGGUGGCUAUGGGUCGCUAUGGGUCGCUAUGGGGCAGCUAUGGGGUGGUUAUGGGGCGGUUAUGGGUCGCUAUUGGGCAGCUAUGGGGUGGUUAUGGGGUGGUUCUGUGUUGCUAUGGGUCGCUAUGGGGCAGUAAUGGGGUGGUUCCGGGUUGCUAUGGGUCGCUAUGGGGCAGUAAUGGGGUGGUUAUGGGGCGGUUACGGGGCAGUUAUGGGUCGCUAUGGGUCGUUAUGGGGCGGCUAUGGGUCGCUAUGGGGCAGUGAUGAGUUACUAUAAGUUGCUAUAGCUCACUAUGGGUCUCUGGGGUGGCUAUGGGUCGCUAUGGGGCAGUAAUGGGGUGGCUAUGGGUCGCUAUGGGGCAGUAAUGGGGUGGUUAUGGGGUGGCUAUGGGUCGCUAUGGGGCAGUUAUGGGUCGCUAUGGGGCAGUGAUGAGUUACUACAAGUUGCUAUAGCUCACUAUGGGUCUCUAUGGGGCGGCUAUGGGUCGCUAUGGGUUGCUAUGGGUCGCUAUGGGUCGCUAUGGGGCGGCUAUGGGUCGCUAUGGGUCGCUAUGGGUCGCUAUGGGUCGCUAUGGGGCGGCUAUGGGUCGCUAUGGGGCAGCUAUGGGGUGGUUCUGGGUCGCUAUGGGUCGCAAUGUGUCGCUAUGGGGCAGUUAUGGGGUGGCUAUGGGUCGCUAUGGGUCGCUAUGGGGCAGCCAUGGGUCGCUAUGGGGCGGUUAUGGGGUGGCUAUGGGUCGCAAUGUGUCGCUAUGGGGCGGUUAUGGGGUGGCUAUGGGUCGCUAUGGGUCGCUAUGGGGCGCUAUGGGUCGCUAUGGGUCGCUAUGGGGCGGUUAUGGGGUGGUUCUGGGUCGCAAUGUGUCGCUAUGGGGCAGUUAUGGGUCGCUAUGGGUCGCUAUGGGGUGGUUCUGGGUCGCUAUGGGUCGCUAUGGGGCGGCUAUGGGUCGCUAUGGGGCAGCUAUGGGGCGGCUAUGGGUCGCUGUGGGUCGCUAUGGGGCAGUAAUGGGGUGGUUAUGGGGUGGCUAUGGUUCGCUAUGGGUCGCUAUGGGUCGCUAUGGUUCGCUAUGGGUCGCUAUGGGGCGGCUAUGGGUCGCUAUGGGGCAGCUAUGGGGUGGUUAUGGGGUGGCUAUGUGUCGCUAUGGGUCGCUAUGGGUCGCUAUGGGGUGGCUAUGGGUCACUAUGGGUCGCUAUGGGUCGCUAUGGGUCGCUAUGGGGUGGCUAUGGGUCACUAUGGGUCGCUAUGGGUCGCUAUGGGUCGCUAUGGGUCGCUAUGGGGCAGUUAUGGGUCACUAUGGGUCGCAAUGUGUCGCUAUGGGGCGGUUAUGGGUCGCUAUGGGUCGCUAUGGGGCGGCUAUGGGUCGCUAUGGGUCGCUAUGGGUCACUAUGGGUCGCUAUGGUCGCUAUGGCGUCGCUAUGGGGCGGUUUAGGGGGUAUGGGUCGCCUGUGGGUCGCUAUGGGGGCGGCUAUCCGGUCGCUAUGGGAGCG